This 460-nucleotide ribosomal RNA is filed under the name uncultured bacterium. RNAcentral's name for it is "partial 16S ribosomal RNA". It matches the Rfam family "Bacterial small subunit ribosomal RNA", at positions 338 to 795 of the family's 1533-position model. The record is from RNAcentral.
CCUACGGGAGGCAGCAGUGAGGAAUAUUGGUCAAUGGACGAGAGUCUGAACCAGCCAAGUAGCGUGAAGGAUGACUGCCCUAUGGGUUGUAAACUUCUUUUAUAUGGGAAUAAAAUGUUCCACGUGUGGGAUUUUGUAUGUACCAUAUGAAUAAGGAUCGGCUAACUCCGUGCCAGCAGCCGCGGUAAUACGGAGGAUCCGAGCGUUAUCCGGAUUUAUUGGGUUUAAAGGGAGCGUAAGUGGAUUGUUAAGUCAGUUGUGAAAGUUUGCGGCUCAACCGUAAAAUUGCAGUUGAAACUGGCAGUCUUGAGUACAGUAGAGGUGGGCGGAAUUCGUGGUGUAGCGGUGAAAUGCUUAGAUAUCACGAAGAACUCCGAUUGCGAAGGCAGUUCACUGGACUGCAACUGACACUGAGGCUCGAAAGUGUGGGUAUCAAACAGGAUUAGAUACCCGAGUAGUC